RNAcentral lists this unclassified non-coding RNA (2002 nucleotides) under Owenia fusiformis. RNAcentral describes it as "misc RNA OFUS_LOCUS12918". Lineage: Eukaryota; Metazoa; Annelida; Polychaeta; Sabellida; Oweniidae. The record is from RNAcentral.
AGCAAAUUUGAAUCACUCAUUAGUACAAAUCACGAAACGAAACCCAGUAUAUAUUAGCAAAGCACACUUAUUUCAUUCGUUCGAAUUAUAUUCAUAUAUUCUAUAAAUGUCAAAGUUGACAUUUGGAGGAAAAUCGUUUUGUUUAUAGACAAUAAUAAAAUACGAAAAUAUUACAGAGCUCAGUUCAUGAGUCAUGUUUACAUUUUAGAAAUUCUGUUCGAAAAUGCAGUUAUAUCAAACUAAGCUUUCGGUAUAACAUCUUCGGUAUUUUCAAUUAUAUUUUUGGAGUCGUCUAGAUGAAAGUCUGAGCUACAUGGCUGGCAAUUCCGAAGAAGUUUUAGGCGUUAAUCUCCCGAGAAAAUCCCCAGAAGUGAGUAGUGACAGAUGUGAGUCUCCAGUGAGUAACAACUUUGGAGAAGAGAUGGUGAUCCGUGAGGUGACGGAGACAUCAUCGGAGCCUGACACACUCACGUCAUAUAAUAGCACAAUACCUAGCUCUCUAAGGGAACCUACUGAGAGCGAAGAUUUUUCACUGCUUAGCCUUCAAGUAAAUGGAAAUACUCAAUGCUUUGACCCCGCCACAGAACGCAAGUUUGCCAAUCUUCCCAAUCUCUCAGAUGGACAGUGUGCAAUACUCUUUGACCGCCUUAAUCUUCAAGACAGUUAUAUCCAUAAGGCAGAUAGAUGCAAGGAUGUGACAUCAGUGGUUCAGGCGGUACAGCGGAAGGGCAAUCUUAGGGGAGAUGUGCAAAUAUUUGACGGGGUAAUUCACAGACCAGACAUAGCAAGGGCAGUGAGAGAAUUAAAUGGCCCUAAGCUCAAUAGGGAAACCCCCCUAGGAAAACUGAAGCAUUCUGUGAGACACAGGCUAAUACUUGCCCUUAGUGUAGAAAGAGAUGACUUGAAGGAUUGGAGGUCUCUGGCAGAAUAUUUGAACUUUGAUGAUUAUAUAAAACUUUGGUCACAGAAAUAUAAACUCCCUGCUGAGCCGCUAUUUACGGCAUGGUCAAUACGUCAUGACGCAACAGUCGGAACUCUGUUUGACUUCCUGAUCAUGAACGAUAUGGGAAUGAUAGCUGAUAUUUUAUAGUGUUCGUUGAGCUAAUUUGGUGGCGUACUACAGGUCUGGACUUUCGUUUAGUAUGUUAAAUGAUGACCUUAGAAGCAAAGUUAGCAAGCAGAGUGGAUAAGUUGACAAGAAUUGCUGAAUCAGAGAACUUGGAAAAAUGACAUGAACAUACAAAAAGACGGCCCAAGCAUAGAUUAUAAAAUAUAUGUGAGGAAUUUUGAAACCUGCUUUAAUGUUUAGAGUAUGUAUGAAGUGAAGUUAAUUCCCUUCUCUGUCCAUAGAUAGAUUGCCUGAUCUACUUGCCAAUGAACUGUCAUUUUAUUAUUUAAAACCUAAAAAAAGUCCUUAAAUAAGGACUGGUAUGAAAAGUUCAUUUUCUAUUUCAGUAAUAUGUGAACUUGCAAUCUUUCACUUAUAUUUGUUAAAGUGAUUUUAGAUGAUAAAACAGUGCCUCUUUAAGCUUGAAUUCUGGCAAUGAAGAUAUAAUUAUAUUAUCUUCGUGCUAUGAACAAUUUUAAGAUGUUGUACCAUAGAAAAUGUAUAAUAUUUUUAUAAAACCCAAUUGGGUAAUUAUUGUACUCUGGAUACUACGAUGCCAAAGAUAACAUUUUUCAUUAUUCACAGAUGCUAUGCUGGAUUCUGUAUAGGCUCAUAUGGGAUCUACUCUGAAUUCCUCUGUUGCAUCUUUAAACAACCCUUAUCAGGGAUCUCCCCAGGAUUUUUUCUCAGGUGGACGUGCAAAAUUCUCAUUUUCACAAUUCAGAUCAAAAUUGGUCAAAAUAUGCAACUUUUUCAUGAUUUUUCUCAUUUUCAAGUGGGCGGAAAUGGAUUUUCAGGUGGGUGCAAGCCUAUUUUCAAAAUCUCAGGUGGGUGCUGCGCCCACUUGCUUUAAUGCUGGGGAGAUCACUGCUUAUACAGAUUGCAUCAAAACAG